RNAcentral lists this ribosomal RNA (484 nucleotides) under uncultured bacterium. Its description in RNAcentral is "bacterial SSU rRNA". It matches the Rfam family "Bacterial small subunit ribosomal RNA", at positions 30 to 507 of the family's 1533-position model. The record is from RNAcentral.
AUUGAACGCUGGCGGCAUGCCUUACACAUGCAAGUCGAACGGCAGCACGGGAGCAAUCCUGGUGGCGAGUGGCGAACGGGUGAGUAAUGUAUCGGAACGUACCUUCAGGUGGGGGAUAACGUAGCGAAAGUUACGCUAAUACCGCAUAUUCUGUGAGCAGGAAAGCAGGGGAUCGCAAGACCUUGCGCUGAUUGAGCGGCCGAUAUCAGAUUAGCUAGUUGGUGAGGUAAAGGCUCACCAAGGCGACGAUCUGUAGCGGGUCUGAGAGGAUGAUCCGCCACACUGGAACUGAGACACGGUCCAGACUCCUACGGGAGGCAGCAGUGGGGAAUUUUGGACAAUGGGCGCAAGCCUGAUCCAGCCAUGCCGCGUGAGUGAAGAAGGCCUUCGGGUUGUAAAGCUCUUUCGGCCGGGAAGAAAUCGCACGGGUUAAUACCCUGUGUGGAUGACGGUACCGGAAUAAGAAGCACCGGCUAACUACGUG